RNAcentral lists this long non-coding RNA (1212 nucleotides) under Canis lupus familiaris (dog). RNAcentral describes it as "lncRNA (ENSCAFG00030012963.1)". Lineage: Eukaryota; Metazoa; Chordata; Mammalia; Carnivora; Canidae. The record is from RNAcentral.
ACUGCAAAAUAUCAUAUAAGUUAAACACAUUAGAAAUUUAUUUCUGUUCACUUAAAAGCAGGUGAAUGGUGUGACUGACUUCUUCAAGCAAAAUGAAGUCUCAAUUCCAGGUCACUGAAAGAGGCAAUGGGCAUGAAAGCACUUACAUGGAAGUUGUAUUGCAUUUUCAGGCCUAUUAUGUGGCACAUGUCAAAUCUGCUCUCAUUCCACUUGUUGGCAUUUAGUCAUAUAGUCAAUAACUAUGUGCAAGAAAGCUUAGCAAAUGCCUACUAGUGUGAGCAGAAAAAUUAGAAUAUGGAUUUUCGUCAGCAAUCAGCAAUCUCCAUAACAGCAUAAAUAGCUGAAUCUGAAUUUUUAGUUUAAUUUGAUGAUACUUUAGUCAUAUGACAGGGUCUUAAAAAAAUACUUAUUUGUCUAAUUCUUGGUCUGUCACUGGAUAUCAAACUUAUAGCACUGCAAAUUUCAGAAACUGACUUCCAUUUUGUUUUCCCCAGUUCAGUGGAGUAGUUUCCUUCCGUAAGGUAAUAUACAAAUCUGUUUUCCUUUAGGUGGAUCAACCUGAGAAAAGUGAUACGCAAUGUCUCUUUAAAUGUGUCCUUCCACAAGAGAAACAAAAGCGAAAAAAAAAAGGAAGGGAGGGAGAGAGGGAAGGGAAAGGAAGAAAAGAAAAAAUAAGCAAGCAAGGAAGCCUUGCCCAAUUUAUCAAUAAAACUGACACAGGCAAAGAAAGAAUCUAUGAAGUUGAACACAGAUCAGCAGAAAUUAACUUAAAGGCAACGAUAAAAAGUGAAAAUACAAAACAAGACAGAAAACUCACCCCAACGAGCAUAGCUGUGACUUAGGAGCUAUGAAACAAUAUCAAAUAGAUUAAAUAUGUGGAAUUAGAACUUCUGAAGAAGAAAGUGAAACCAAUAUAUAUAUAUAUAUAUAUAUUGAUAUAUAUAUUUGAAUAAAUAAUGGCUGAGAAAUUUCCAAAAUUAGUGAAAAACACCAAAUUACUAAUCUAAAAACGUUGAAGGACACUAGAUUAAAAAAUAAUAUAUAUAUUAUAUACACACACACACACACAAAAAGUACCUUUUCAAACUGCUGAAACCAAAAGAUAAAGAGAAAAUCUUAAAUAAAGAGAAAUAAAAUACAUUAGAGAAAAACACGGAUAAAAAUUAUAGCAGACAGGGGUGCCUAGGUGGUUCAGUUGAUUAAGUAUCCGAA